CCCUUUGUACACACCGCCCGUCGCUACUACCGAUUGAUGGCUCAGUGAGGCGUUCGGACUGGCUCGGGGAGGUUGGCAACGACCACCCCAAGCCGGAAAGUUCGUCAAACUCGGUCAUUUAGAGGAAGUAAAAGUCGUAACAAGGUCUCCGUAGGUGAACCUGCGGAGGGAUCAUUACACAACAAAAUAGGAAGGCCUGGCUUCACGGCCGGCUGAAAUAUUUUUUUCCACCCAUGUCUUUUGCGCACUUGUUGUUUCCUGGGCGGGCUCGCCCGCCACCAGGACCAAACCAUAAACCUUUUUUUUCUUAUGCAGUUUCCAUCAGCGUCAGUAAAAACAAUGUAAUUAUUACAACUUUCAACAACGGAUCUCUUGGUUCUGGCAUCGAUGAAGAACGCAGCGAAAUGCGAUACGUAGUGUGAAUUGCAGAAUUCAGUGAAUCAUCGAAUCUUUGAACGCACAUUGCGCCCUUUGGUAUUCCAAAGGGCAUGCCUGUUCGAGCGUCAUUUGUACCUUCAAGCUUUGCUUGGUGUUGGGCGUCUUUUUGUCUCUCCUUUGCGGGAGACUCGCCUUAAAACGAUUGGCAGCCGGCCUACUGGUUUCGGAGCGCAGCACAUUUUUUGCGCUUUGUAUCAGGAGAAAAGGACGGUACUCCAUCAAGACGUUUACAUUUGUUCACUUUUGACCUCGGAUCAGGUAGGGAUACCCGCUGAACUUAAGCAUAUCAUA
Molecule: ribosomal RNA, 729 nt
Filed under: Bipolaris heveae
Lineage: Eukaryota; Fungi; Ascomycota; Dothideomycetes; Pleosporales; Pleosporaceae
Description: eukaryotic LSU rRNA
Rfam family: 5.8S ribosomal RNA (bases 353-506)
Source: RNAcentral